RNAcentral lists this microRNA precursor (173 nucleotides) under Oryza punctata. Its description in RNAcentral is "MIR812 microRNA precursor family". It matches the Rfam family "MIR812 microRNA precursor family". Lineage: Eukaryota; Viridiplantae; Streptophyta; Magnoliopsida; Poales; Poaceae. The record is from Rfam by way of RNAcentral.
UUUUAGUAUAAAUUUUAGUGUUCAACUUUAAUCGUCUAUAUUAUUUGAAUUUUUUUAUAAUUAGUAUUUUUUAUUGAUAUCAGAUGAUAAAAUAUAAAUAGUACUUUAAGUGUGACUUAUGUUCUUUAACGAACGAUUAAAAUUGAACACGGAAAUUUAAGGUUGCGCUUAAA